RNAcentral lists this ribosomal RNA (490 nucleotides) under uncultured eukaryote. RNAcentral's name for it is "partial 18S ribosomal RNA". It matches the Rfam family "Eukaryotic small subunit ribosomal RNA", at positions 592 to 976 of the family's 1831-position model. The record is from RNAcentral.
GGAUAGUGUGUAUUAUCAUUGUUGCAGUUAAAAAGCUCGUAGUUGGAUUUCGAAUAGAUUAUUUUGGAAUUGUCUUUGUGAUUCUGAAAAAGUUUCCUCUGUACAUCCAUUAUCUAUUCUUCUUUGUAGGUUUGAUUUAUUCAUAAAUUAAGCGGCAUUCGAAUUUAGAUUGAUCUAUCCAACAUGGAUUUUUCAUUUUAUUUUCUUAUAAAACUUUUUUUCUUGGAUAUUUUGUAUUCCUACAUUGUUUACUUUGAAAAAAUCAAGGUGUUCAAAGCAGGUAUAACCCUUUGGGUUUUAUUGCCUGAAUGUAUUAGCAUGGGAUAAUGAAAAAUGACUUUCAAGUCACAAUUUUCAUUGGUUUCUGUGGCUUUAGUAAUGAUUAAAAGAUGCAGACGGGGUCAUCUGUAUUAAUCCGUGAGAGGUGAAAUUCUAAGACCGGAUUAAGACAAACUAGUGCGAAGGCAUUUGACAAGAAUGUUUNCAUUGA